Pelobates cultripes (western spadefoot toad) is the source of this 328-nucleotide non-coding RNA. The record is from the annotation of a GenBank genome assembly. NCBI's taxonomy places the organism in Eukaryota, Metazoa, Chordata, Amphibia, Anura, Pelobatidae.
AGUGACAGAGUGAGGGAGGGGGUGACUAGUGACAGAGUGAGGGAGGGGGUGACUAGUGACAGAGUGAGAGAGAGGGUGACUAGUGACAGAGUGAGGAAGGGGGUGACACAGUGACAGAGUGAGGGAGGAGGUGACUAGUGACAGAGUGAAGGAGGUGGUGACCGUCACUAGUCACCCCCUCCCUCACUCUGUCACUAGUCACCCCCUCCCUCACUGUCACUAGUCACCCCCUCCCUCUCUCUGUCACUAGUGACACCCUCCCUCACUCUGUCACUAGUGACACCCUCCCUCACUCUGUCACUAGUGACACCCUCCCUCACUCUGUCAC